UUUCCCCGUAAAAUUAUUAUUUGAGUAGUAGUAGAAGUUCUUGAAACUUAAAGAAUUUGGCGGUAUAUUAAUCUGUUUAGAGGAACCUGUCCUGUAAUCGAUAAUCCCCGUAAAUUUAACCUAGACUGGAAAAAGCAGCUUAUAUAUCGCUGUCGUAAGAUUAUUUUAUAAGAAAUUUUUCGAUAAUAAAUUUUUAUUUAUGUCAAGUCAAGGUGUAGUAUAUGUUUAGGGUUGAGAUGGGUUACAAUAUAUGAAUGUAAACGAAUUUAGGUUUGUAAAAAUUUAAUGAAGGUGGAUUUAAUUGUAAUAUAAAGUUAAUUACUUUAUAUGGAAAAGUACUAAUAUAUGC
Molecule: ribosomal RNA, 349 nt
Filed under: Pilbarascutigera incola
Lineage: Eukaryota; Metazoa; Arthropoda; Chilopoda; Scutigeromorpha; Scutigeridae
Description: partial 12S ribosomal RNA
Source: RNAcentral